RNAcentral lists this long non-coding RNA (533 nucleotides) under Rhinopithecus bieti (black snub-nosed monkey). RNAcentral describes it as "lncRNA (ENSRBIG00000045408.1)". The record is from RNAcentral. Lineage: Eukaryota; Metazoa; Chordata; Mammalia; Primates; Cercopithecidae.
GCAGCGACCACAGUCUCUGUCAAGCUGCCUGGAUAUCUGUGUUUGCUUCGCAGUGGGCACACAAUAAUGGCAGGCACAGGGAGAGGGAAGAAAGAAGAUAGAGGCUCAAGAAGAGUCCCCAGCAUGUGAACAGACACAGGUCAGGCAAGUUGCCCAAAGACACGACCAGCCAGGGCUGAGAGCACCAAGGCCUGAAAGAGGAAGGACCAGCGGAUGCUAUGGGGUGGCGCCUCUUCUCGGUGCCCACAGAUUCCACCGAAGCUGGAGCUGCUUGACUCACAGAGGGUGCACGGCGCUCCACCAGCUGUCUCCUUCUCACCCAGCUCGGGAGUCCCUGGUUAACCCCUCCAUCCACCCUGCCUCUGACCAGGUUGCAGCAUCUGGCUCCCCACCUCCAGGGAAGGAAAACAGAAAAUACUGGGAAGUGACAGGGCCCUAAACCACUUGGAUGGAAAUAGAGUCACUGGGAGCCACAGGGAGAAGGACUGGGCCAAGAAGCUGAUUGCAUUGCUCCUGGCAACCACACGUCCCAG